Molecule: small RNA, 76 nt
Filed under: Lutibacter maritimus
Lineage: Bacteria; Pseudomonadati; Bacteroidota; Flavobacteriia; Flavobacteriales; Flavobacteriaceae
Description: Flavo-1 RNA
Rfam family: Flavo-1 RNA
Source: Rfam by way of RNAcentral
UUAUAUACGUUAGGGAUAGCAGUGUUAUCCUUUUUUAUUUUUUAUAAAAAAGAUUUAACGUAUAGCCCGACACAAA